GGAACUUCUUUAAAGGAUUUCUUCGGAAUGAAUUUGAUUAAGUUUAGUGGCGGACGGGUGAGUAACGCGUGAGUAACCUGCCUCUAAGAGGGGAAUAACAUUCUGAAAAGAAUGCUAAUACCGCAUAAUAUAUAUUUAUCGCAUGGUAGAUAUAUCAAAGAUUUAUCGCUUAGAGAUGGACUCGCGUCCGAUUAGUUAGUUGGUGAGGUAACGGCUCACCAAGACCGCGAUCGGUAGCCGGACUGAGAGGUUGAACGGCCACAUUGGGACUGAGACACGGCCCAGACUCCUACGGGAGGCAGCAGUGGGGGAUAUUGCGCAAUGGGGGAAACCCUGACGCAGCAACGCCGCGUGAAGGAUGAAGGUCUUCGGAUUGUAAACUUCUUUUAUUAAGGACGAAUAAAGUGACGGUACUUAAUGAAUAAGCUCCGGCUAACUACGUGCCAGCAGCCACGGUAAUACGUAGGGAGCAAGCGUUGUCCGGAUUUACUGGGUGUAAAGGGUGCGUAGGCGGCUUUGCAAGUCAGAUGUGAAAUCUAUGGGCUCAACCCAUAGCCUGCAUUUGAAACUGCAGAGCUUGAGUGAAGUAGAGGCAGGCGGAAUUCCCCGUGUAGCGGUGAAAUGCGUAGAGAUGGGGAGGAACACCAGUGGCGAAGGCGGCCUGCUG
This 667-nucleotide ribosomal RNA is filed under the name uncultured Lachnospiraceae bacterium. Its description in RNAcentral is "bacterial SSU rRNA". It matches the Rfam family "Bacterial small subunit ribosomal RNA", at positions 70 to 731 of the family's 1533-position model. The record is from RNAcentral. Lineage: Bacteria; Bacillati; Bacillota; Clostridia; Lachnospirales; Lachnospiraceae.